GACGAACGCUGGCGGCGUGCCUAAUACAUGCAAGUUGAGCGCUGAAGGUUGGUACUUGUCCCAACUGGAUGAGCAGCAAACGGGUGAGUAGCGCGUGGGGAAUCUGCCUUUGAGCGGGGGACAACAUUUGGAAACGAAUGCUAAUACCGCAUAAAAACUUUAAACACAAGUUUUAAGUUUGAAAGAUGCAAUUGCAUCACUCAAAGAUGAUCCCGCGUUGUAUUAGCUAGUUGGUGAGGUAAAGGCUCACCAAGGCGAUGAUACAUAGCCGACCUGAGAGGGUGAUCGGCCACAUUGGGACUGAGACACGGCCCAAACUCCUACGGGAGGCAGCAGUAGGGAAUCUUCGGCAAUGGACGAAAGUCUGACCGAGCAACGCCGCGUGAGUGAAGAAGGGUUUCGGAUCGUAAAACUCUGUUGGUAGAGAAGAACGUUGGUGAGAGUGGAAAGCUCAUCAAGUGACGGUAACUACCCAGAAAGGGACGGCUAACUACGUG
RNAcentral lists this ribosomal RNA (497 nucleotides) under uncultured bacterium. RNAcentral describes it as "partial 16S ribosomal RNA". It matches the Rfam family "Bacterial small subunit ribosomal RNA", at positions 28 to 507 of the family's 1533-position model. The record is from RNAcentral.